Molecule: ribosomal RNA, 796 nt
Filed under: Triticum aestivum (bread wheat)
Lineage: Eukaryota; Viridiplantae; Streptophyta; Magnoliopsida; Poales; Poaceae
Description: partial small subunit ribosomal RNA
Source: RNAcentral
AACAACAGACACGCCGACCCUCCAUGGCUCCAACAGACCGUAGAACCUCCCCCAGAUCUCGACGCCCAAUCCACCAGAUCGCCGCCGCCCCCAACUAUCCCAGCGCCGGCGGCCGCCCUCCACCUGGAUCACCACUGCCGCCGUCACCCACCACCGUCGCAGCCCUCCGUCGACCCCAACCACCACUGCAGCCCCUCCGCUAACCCCAACCACCACACUGCUGCCGACCGCCCUUCGUCCCCAACCACGCCGUCGUUGCCCCCAACCACUCCAGAGCGACACCGCCGAGCACCCGAUUGACACGGAGCACCACUAGUGUCGCCGAACCGCUCCACCGGCGACGACCAUCUUCCGCGGAACGCCUUCCUCGCCACCACCCUGAGAGCUUCCUCCCUCGAGAAGGUUGCCUCCUCUUCACCGAAGCACCAAGGGCAAGGGGUCCGCCUCCUCUCCCGUGAGCAUCUCUACCGCAAGUAGCGGAACGUCGACCUCAAGCGGCCACUAGCGGGAGCCCUCCUCCCACCUCCCCGUUUCUCAAAGGUGCACAAGUUCACUAAGGUUUGGAAGAUCUUUAAGCUGCUGAAGAUUUGGAAGACCUACAAUUAAGUUGAUGGAGUGAUAAUGUCACGUGUCUUGUUUGUCCCUGCUGCAUUUUGGUGGUUGUUAAGCUCAUUUUGGUUGUGUGGCACACAUCUAGAAGCAUAUGUACAUCUUUUGUGGCACUAGUUUAGUUUGGUUGUGUGGCAAACAUAUAAUAUGUACUCCUUUUGUGGCACAACCUUGUUAUAUAUGGUCG